AGGUUAGUGCAAUGGCAUAAGCCAGCUUGACUGCGAGCGUGACGGCGCGAGCAGGUGCGAAAGCAGGUCAUAGUGAUCCGGUGGUUCUGAAUGGAAGGGCCAUCGCUCAACGGAUAAAAGGUACUCCGGGGAUAACAGGCUGAUACCGCCCAAGAGUUCAUAUCGACGGCGGUGUUUGGCACCUCGAUGUCGGCUCAUCACAUCCUGGGGCUGAAGUAGGUCCCAAGGGUAUGGCUGUUCGCCAUUUAAAGUGGUACGCGAGCUGGGUUUAGAACGUCGUGAGACAGUUCGGUCCCUAUCUGCCGUGGGCGCUGGAGAACUGAGGGGGGCUGCUCCUAGUACGAGAGGACCGGAGUGGACGCAUCACUGGUGUUCGGGUUGUCAUGCCAAUGGCACUGCCCGGUAGCUAAAUGCGGAAGAGAUAAGUGCUGAAAGCAUCUAAGCACGAAACUUGCCCCGAGAUGAGUUCUCCCUGACUCCUUGAGAGUCCUGAAGGAACGUUGAAGACGACGACGUUGAUAGGCCGGGUGUGUAAGCGCAGCGAUGCGUUGAGCUAACCGGUACUAAUGAACCGUGAGGCUUAACCUUACAACGCCGAAG
This 600-nucleotide ribosomal RNA is filed under the name Escherichia coli. RNAcentral describes it as "partial 23S ribosomal RNA". It matches the Rfam family "Bacterial large subunit ribosomal RNA", at positions 2343 to 2925 of the family's 2925-position model. The record is from RNAcentral. Lineage: Bacteria; Pseudomonadati; Pseudomonadota; Gammaproteobacteria; Enterobacterales; Enterobacteriaceae.